GUGCUCACUUCAGCAACACAUAGACUAAAAUUGGAACGAUACAGAGAAGAUUAGCAUAGCCCCUGCGCAAGGAUGACACGCAAAUUCAUGAAGCGUUCCAUAUUUUU
This 107-nucleotide small nuclear RNA is filed under the name Mus caroli (Ryukyu mouse). Lineage: Eukaryota; Metazoa; Chordata; Mammalia; Rodentia; Muridae. The record is from RNAcentral.